AAUCAACGCUGGCGGCGUGCCUAACACAUGCAAGUCGAACGCGAAAGUCCCGCAAGGGGCAAGUAGAGUGGCAAACGGGUGAGUAACGCGUGGGUGACCUACCUCAGAGUGGGGGAUAACCUUCCGAAAGGAGGGCUAAUACCGCAUGACAUACCGUGGUUGGAUACACGGAUAUCAAAGCCGGGGAUCGCAAGACCUGGCGCUUGGAGAGGGGCCCGCGUCCGAUUAGCUAGUUGGGAGGUC
RNAcentral lists this ribosomal RNA (243 nucleotides) under uncultured bacterium. RNAcentral describes it as "partial 16S ribosomal RNA". It matches the Rfam family "Bacterial small subunit ribosomal RNA", at positions 32 to 258 of the family's 1533-position model. The record is from RNAcentral.